UUGGAAUAAAUUUUGUUCCUAAAUGCUCUGGCACAUUUGGCCUUAUUUCCAGCGGCGGCGAAAGGUCGGGAAGGCCCCGGCGUUGGCGCGGAGACCCGGACCGUCCAGAUGUUUCGCCAAGACCUCCAUGACAUCGUGUGCAUCAGGCCGGGCAUGUGGUGUGACUCGCGAGGUCCCACACCUCAAACAUCGGCAGAGUUUCUGCGCUGGACAAAUACUCUUGGUUAACUGGAGAUCAGGAAGAAUCAGGGGACUCAGAUCCUAGUCCCGGUUCUGCCUGCUGGGGCUGUGCCCUCAGUGGUGAAGGAUUCUGACCAAAGACCCAGCCAGGCCAUUUCAUAAGGUGGUUGGGUCCAGCGAGAGUCCGGUAAAGCAACCGGCUGCCGAGGUCACCGUCUUCUGGGUCACGGCAUCGGCUGUGUGCUGCGGUCACUUCAGCCGUCACUGGGUCCUACGUGUAAAAAGCCUCCACGUGCCCUUUGCCAUGGGCCACACCCCUGCCCGCCUACCCCCUCGUCACACUCCGGGCCCUCCGGGAACCCGGCGGGCAGGAGAGGAGAGAGGGCGCGAGUGGAGCUGUGCCAACCGCUAAAGCUAAAAUCAACUCCUCCCUCAGGUUUUUACGAGAUGUUCUUCCCCUUGACGCUGUUUACUGCCAUUGUUCUUGUCUGUCCGUCUCCCCCGAUUAGACUGUAAGCCCGUCAAACGGCAGGGACUGUCUCUAUCUGUUGCCGACUUGUUCAUCCCAAGCGCUUAGUACAGUGCUCUGCACAUAGUAAGCGCUCAAUAAAUACUAUUGAAUUGAAUGAAUGAAAGUUCUAGGUCCUGAAAUCUCAAGGCCCAAGACUCACCCGUUAUUCCUGAUGGGAUGUUGACAACUGGCCCAUUGUCCACCCAGCCUUCAGGGAGGAGCAGGGAUUCAUUUCCUCCACUCUGGAUUGUACUUCCAAGAAAUCCUGAGCACACUCUUGUUUUGUCCUACCAGCAUCCCUGAGGAAAAACCAGUUCAGAGAAGGUGAGCUCUAGAUUUAAGUCUUCACCAGAGAUCUCGCCCUUCUCCUGCCUGUCUCUCUCGCUACAUUCAUCGCGAGACCAGGCUGACACUGCUCACUGUGAAACUCCACCCAUAUGUGUUGUUGAGAGACUAUUAUUAUUAUUGUUAUUAUUAUGAGACCAGAGUGGAGCUGCUUCUGCUUCCCAGAACUUGAGUUUAGGGCUGGUAGGAGAAGAGAGGAAAAGAAUAGCCUGCUACCAGCAUUGACUUUUUACUGAAAUGGUGAGAGUUUGCUCUGCACCAUCCACACUCUCUCACUCCCAAUAGCGGAAUGAAAGCAGUGGCUGGUGAGGAGAGGAGAGAAAGGGCAGAAUAAGAAAGAGGGAAACAAAUAUCCUGAAGGAAGAGGGUCUUGGGUGGCUGGGGGAAAGAAGAUCAAGUCAGUAGAGAAGCAUUGCUAUCUUCCUUAUCUGUCUCCCCCUCUAGACUGUAAGCUUGUUGUGGGCAGGGAAUAUGUCCAUUUAUUGUUGUAUUGCACUCUCUGAAGCACUUAGGACAGUGCUUUGCACACAGUUGGUGGACCCAGAGGGUCCCAGGCUGCAUUUGGCUGAAACCUUGAACCCUUUCAAGCAGAUCCUCGCGACCCCACGAUCCUUUUCCGUGAUGGAACAUCUCGACCGCAAGACCUGAACCCUGUGGGGACAAAGUUCAGGCUCCAAACUCAGAAACAAAACCUUUGUACUGAC
RNAcentral lists this long non-coding RNA (1740 nucleotides) under Ornithorhynchus anatinus (platypus). RNAcentral's name for it is "lncRNA (ENSOANG00000051257.1)". Lineage: Eukaryota; Metazoa; Chordata; Mammalia; Monotremata; Ornithorhynchidae. The record is from RNAcentral.